Molecule: unclassified non-coding RNA, 246 nt
Filed under: uncultured fungus
Lineage: Eukaryota; Fungi
Description: sequence contains ITS1, 5.8S rRNA gene
Rfam family: 5.8S ribosomal RNA (bases 198-246)
Source: RNAcentral
UCUCCGUUGGUGAACCAGCGGAGGGAUCAUUACAGAGAUUUCUAAACUCCCAAACCCAUGUGAACUUACCAUUGUUGCCUCGGCGGAGCCUACCCUGUAGCUACCAUAUAAGGUGGUUACCCUGUAGCGCCCCGCCGGUGGAUUUUCAAACUCUUGUUAUUUAUAGUAAUCUGAGAGUCUUAUUUUAAAUAAGUCAAAACUUUCAACAACGGAUCUCUUGGUGCUGGCAUCGAUAAAGAACGCAGC